This is a long non-coding RNA of Leopardus geoffroyi (Geoffroy's cat), 1003 nucleotides long. RefSeq lists it as uncharacterized. The record is from RefSeq and is a predicted model, not a curated record. The transcript is spliced from 4 exons. Lineage: Eukaryota; Metazoa; Chordata; Mammalia; Carnivora; Felidae.
CUUCCCCGCCGUCCCAGCUGGGCCCCCAGGGGUCGCACGCGGGGUUCCACCGAAAACCGGGCGGCACGGUGUCCCCGAAACUACGCGGGGCGGCGCGUGCGCGGCGCUAGCACAUUUUGGGGGACAAGAGGCGGUGAUGCGCACGGGGGCCCCACAGAAAUCGGGUCGGGCCGUCCCCGCGGCAGGACCCGUGACCCUGGCGAGAGCUGGAAACGCCGGUCGUGUACCGGAAGGGGCCGGGCAGGGUGGCCCGGGGCCGCAGCGCGGAGUGGUUCACGGUGCGCCGCUGCUUCCCCUGGGGUGGUCGGGCCCUGCGCCCAGUGCUUGAAGCCAAGGGCAAGGGGUGGAACUCGAGCGAGGAAAGAUUUGGGACCAGGAGUGCGGCCUCCCCUUUUGGACAAUGCUCCCAAGGCCUUAUUGGCUCAGACUUUCCUUCCUGCCCUAGUUCCCUCACCACACAGCAAGCAUCUGUGACGUCAGCGCCGGGGCUGCAGGGCCAACAAGAAGUGGUUUGUGUUGCUGUGGCCGUUCGGUUCCAGCGAGGGAGCCAAGCAAACGUGGAAGAGCAUUCUCAGUGCUGAGAGGGACUAGAAGGGAAGAACAUGGGGUUUAGACAGUGACUGGGGAAUGAAGGUGGGCAGGAGCGAAGGGGACAUUUGAACUGUCGCUCCAUACGGAUGCAACCCUGAGAGGACCUGACAGACAGUGCCAGGCAGAAGAUGACCUGGGAGCUACCUGAGUCAAUGUCACCCAUCUGGGCAAGUCCUUCAGGCAGGAGAAGCCACUGUGGAGAGCUGGCCUUCUCUGAGCAAGACUUGCCCAUUCAGCAAGCACUUUUUGGCCUCCACCGUGCUGAUGGAGUGGCAGAGAAUAAAAGAAAGAGAAGACAAUGAAGCCAAUGUAGCUGAGAAGGAGCAUUUCUGAAAUUGGAAGCUGUCCCCUACACCAAACAUGCUAAUAGAGGAAGUGAAAAUUUGGCCUGAAAACUCCAGUUUGAAGAAGG